ACCAGGCAUGGUGGUGCAUGUCUGUAGUUCCAGCUACUCAGGAGGCUGAGGCAGGAGGAUUGCUUGUGCCCUGGAGUUCAAGGCUGCAGUGAGCUAUGAUUGCACCACUGCACUCUAGCCUGGGCGACAGAGCAAGACUCUGUCUCUU
Molecule: non-coding RNA, 148 nt
Organism: Nomascus leucogenys (northern white-cheeked gibbon)
Lineage: Eukaryota; Metazoa; Chordata; Mammalia; Primates; Hylobatidae
Rfam family: Metazoan signal recognition particle RNA
About the family: The signal recognition particle (SRP) is a universally conserved ribonucleoprotein.
Source: Rfam